GGAUAUGUAAACGAACUAACAGAGAGCGCGUAAUGAUAAUUAAUUUUUUUUGCUAUUUGAAUUACAUGUUUUCAACUACAAUUCAAUUAAAUCAACUACAAUAAUUGGUACUUGAUUUUAUUUAUUCUUCACCCCCAAUUGUAUUUUUAUUCCUGCAUCAUGAUACUGAAAAGUGGUCACGCGACUAUAAAAAAUCCACGUCAAACAAAGGGUAAAGCAACAGUAAAAAAAAGAGCAAAACAAAGAUAAUUUUUUUUCUAGGUAGCUUAGUUGAUAAAUUUCUCCAUCAAGUAACCCAGAAAGAAGCCUGGCUAGACGAAAUAUUGAAAAGCAACUUUGUACCUAGAGGAGAAGAAAUAUAGGAGAAUGACAACAAGUUUAUAGAGAAAAGCAUACAGUAGCUAUCAAAUAAUGUCGCAUAAUGGAAGCAUGUUUUGAGAGAAAAAGAGACAGUAACUAUCUAAUAAUGCCCCAUUCUCAUUUUAAUCUGGUUUAAUAAUCAUGUGCUUGCUUCAAUAUUAAAGAUUAACAUUUAUAUAAUAUAUAUUCUUAGACAAGAAGCUAAAUAUCAGCAAUGCAUACGAAGUCAUGUCAAUCAUGAUGCUUCAUAGAGAUUUCAAGCGAUGGACAUGAAGGUUUGGUGCUACCGGUUAGUUGGUUAUGAUAAAACCAAAAAGAAGUAAUAUAAAAACUGUAUGAUCUAUGCAGCAUCCUAACUUUGGAGUUCUGUAGACACAAAUUUUAGCAUACUAUUAUCCUAUUGUAGUUUUUCAAAUGUUAAUUUAUGUGGUGGACGCACAUUUUGAGGCCCACGGAGAAGCAGCUCAAAUAUAUAGAAAUUUCUGCAUAAUCAUAUAUGCAUAUCAGGGUUUUUGAGCAAUAUUUUUAUAAUGCACAGUCCUUAGUCAUGUUCAACAGUUGAAGGAUUCUCAUUAGAAGGUCAUGCAAGCUGGACAAUAUUUUUAAUCAAAAUUAAAUCGCUCAACUCUGUUGUACGAAGAACUAAAAAUAAAAAUAUUCAUCUUACAGAAGUGAAGGCUACCAAGGAAAACCUAAGGCUCAAAAAUAAAACACAUUAUCCUUUUAGAACAGCAGAAACAGAGCUAGACAACUUGUAUGGUACAUGAAGGUCCCAAAUAUUGUAUAAGAUCUAUAUAUGUACCUCCAUGAAUAGGCUGAAGGGUUGUCACAUUUGUACUACAUAAAUGGUUAGUCAUUCAUUUAUGUAUAUAAUAUAAAUAAACUUAAGAUCCGGAGUACCUUACAAUGAAACAUCUUCAAAUGCCAAAUGGCAAGCAAAGUCACUGUAGAUUGAGGGCUGAGAAUUUUUAACACAUUAAUCUUUUCAAAAGCAGAAUUCGAAUUAUGGCCUGAGAAUUUAAACUGUAGAAUUUCAUUACUAUAUCUAUCUUUUAAGUAUCUAUGAACUUCGUUCUAUUUUCAUCUGUGUGAUGAUAUAUAACCUCUAGUAAAGUUCGAAACAUUAAGAUUAUGAGAGAAAAAUCUAUUAACUACUGCAGCUUUUUCCAGGAACAAACAGUUAAUGACCGAAAUUGUAAAAGUCAAUUCGUAAUAACAAAAAUGAAACACAUUAGAAAACCAAAAGGGCAAAUAUGAAAUCGAUAUAGUAUGAAUCAAAAGGCAGUCCAAAAGUUAUUAAAGCAAAUCAUGGCAGCAAGAAAGUCGAAGAAGUAGAGCAAAUCAAAGAAAGAUAUAGAAGAGAAAGCGAGCUGAAUUGAAUACCAUGGGAAAGAACUUUAAAAUAUGUCAUAGCUCACUGUUUACCCAGAAGCAGAAUUAUCAUCAUGUGCUUCUCCAAAACCACCUAUAAUAACUAUAUUUACAUGAUGAGAAGUUUAAAAAACAGAAGGCACAUCGAAAAUAACUCCAGAUUUUACUGUUUUUUUGUCUCUACUCAAAAGUAAAAAAUACCAUCUUACAUAAACACAAUUUAUACCAAGGAAUAUGAAUUGCAUAUCAAGUGAAAUUGCUCGCAUAUAAUUUUCUGGUAAUACCAUCGGGCAAAACUGGAAAAAGGUAGAUAGAGAUAUCUCCUUGUGAAAAGGACUGAACUAUUAUUUGUUCUUUUAUGUUAGCAUGAAGAUCCGAAU
This 2111-nucleotide long non-coding RNA is filed under the name Nicotiana tabacum (common tobacco). RNAcentral describes it as "long non-coding RNA (NTAB_LNC007825)". Lineage: Eukaryota; Viridiplantae; Streptophyta; Magnoliopsida; Solanales; Solanaceae. The record is from RNAcentral.